Molecule: ribosomal RNA, 486 nt
Filed under: uncultured bacterium
Lineage: Bacteria
Description: partial 16S ribosomal RNA
Rfam family: Bacterial small subunit ribosomal RNA
Source: RNAcentral
GAUGAACGCUGGCGGCGUGCCUAAUACAUGCAAGUCGAACGCUGGAAAUCUAGCUUGCUAGAUUGAAGGAGUGGCGAACGGGUGAGUAAUACAUAAGCAACCUACCCACGAAGACUGGGAUAAUCUCUGGAAACGGGGACUAAUACCGGAUAGGUAAUCGGAAGGCAUCUUCUGAUUAUUAAAGGUUAAAAACACUGGUGGAUGGGCUUAUGGCGCAUUAGUUAGUUGGUGAGGUAACGGCCCACCAAGACGAUGAUGCGUAGCCGGCCUGAGAGGGUGAAAGGCCACAUUGGGACUGAGACACGGACCAGACUCCUACGGGAGGCAGCAGUAGGGAAGUUUAGGCAAUGGGGGAAACCCUGACCGAGCAACGCCGCGUGAGUGAUGACGGCCUUCGGGUUGUAAAGCUCUGUUGUAAGGGAAGAACGGUAGAUAGAGAAUAUCUAAAUGACGGUACCUUACCAGAAAGCCACGGCUAACUACGUG